This 448-nucleotide ribosomal RNA is filed under the name uncultured bacterium. Its description in RNAcentral is "bacterial SSU rRNA". It matches the Rfam family "Bacterial small subunit ribosomal RNA", at positions 32 to 507 of the family's 1533-position model. The record is from RNAcentral.
AGGACAACGCUGGCGGCAUGCCUAACACAUGCAAGUCUAGGGGUAGCAAUACCACUGGCGCACGGGUGAGUAACACGUAGGUUAUCUGCCCCCAUCACAGACAUAACCCGGAAACCGGGGCUAAUAUCUGAUGAGGUCGCGAGAUCAAAGCUUCGGCGGAUGGGGAUGAGCCUGCGGCUGAUUAGCUAGUUGGUGAGGUAAUGGCUCACCAAGGCGACGAUCAGUAGCUGGUCUGAGAGGACGAACAGCCACACUGGAACUGAGACACGGUCCAGACUCCUACGGGAGGCAGCAGUGAGGAAUAUUGGUCAAUGGGAGCAAUCCUGAACCAGCAAUGCCGCGUGUGGGAUGACAGGGCUUCGCCUUGUAAACCACUGUCGGACGGGACGAAAGGAGGCCUCGGGCCUCUGGGACGGUACCGUCAAAGGAAGGGUCGGCUAACUACGUG